GAUGAACGCUGGCGGCGUGCCUAAUACAUGCAAGUCGAGCGAACGGACGAGAAGCUUGCUUCUCUGAUGUUAGCGGCGGACGGGUGAGUAACACGUGGAUAACCUACCUAUAAGACUGGGAUAACUUCGGGAAACCGGAGCUAAUACCGGAUGAUAUUUUGAACCGCAUGGUUCAAAAGUGAAAGACGGUCUUGCUGUCACUUAUAGAUGGAUCCGCGCUGCAUUAGCUAGUUGGUAAGGUAACGGCUUACCAAGGCAACGAUGCAUAGCCGACCUGAGAGGGUGAUCGGCCACACUGGAACUGAGACACGGUCCAGACUCCUACGGGAGGCAGCAGUAGGGAAUCUUCCGCAAUGGGCGAAAGCCUGACGGAGCAACGUCGCGUGAGUGAUGAAGGUCUUCGGAUCGUAAAACUCUGUUACUAGGGAAGAACAUAUGUGUAAGUAACUGUGCACAUCUUGACGGUACCUAAUCAGAAAGCCACGGCUAACUACGUG
Molecule: ribosomal RNA, 497 nt
Filed under: uncultured bacterium
Lineage: Bacteria
Description: partial 16S ribosomal RNA
Rfam family: Bacterial small subunit ribosomal RNA
Source: RNAcentral